UACAGAGGUCUCAAGCGUUGUUCGGAUUCAUUGGGCGUAAAGGGUGCGUAGGCGGCGCGGUAAGUCGGGGGUGAAAUCUCGGAGCUUAACUCCGAAACUGCAUUCGAUACUGCCGUGCUUGAGGACUGGAGAGGAGACUGGAAUUUACGGUGUAGCGGUGAAAUGCGCAGAUAUCGGAGGAACACCAGUAGCGAAGGCGGAUCUCUGGGCCUGUUCUGACGCUGAGGCGCGAAAGCUAAG
RNAcentral lists this ribosomal RNA (240 nucleotides) under uncultured bacterium. RNAcentral's name for it is "partial 16S ribosomal RNA". It matches the Rfam family "Bacterial small subunit ribosomal RNA", at positions 524 to 764 of the family's 1533-position model. The record is from RNAcentral.